ACAAGCGGAGGAGCAUGUGGUUUAAUUCGAUGAUACGCGAGGAACCGUUACCUGGGCUCGAACGUAAGAUGACUGUAGGUGAAAGCUUACAUCUCUUCGGAGCAUUUUACGAGGUGCUGCAUGGUUGUCGUCAGCUCGUGCCGUGAGGUGUCGGGUUAAGUCCCAUAACGAGCGCAACCCCUACCUUUAGUUGCCAUCAGGUUAAGCUGGGGACUCUAAAGGAACUGCCUACGCAAGUAGUGAGGAAGCGGGGAUGACGUCAAAUCAGCACGGCCCUUACGUCCAGGGCUACACACGUGCUACAAUGGCCGAUACAGAGGGCAGCUACCUGGUGACAGGAUGCAAAUCUCCAAAGUCGGUCUCAGUUCGGAUCGGAGUCUGCAACCCGACUCCGUGAAGUUGGAUUCGCUAGUAAUCGCGCAUCAGCCAUGGCGCGGUGAAUACGUUCCCGGGCCUU
This 457-nucleotide ribosomal RNA is filed under the name uncultured Sphingobacteriales bacterium. Its description in RNAcentral is "bacterial SSU rRNA". It matches the Rfam family "Bacterial small subunit ribosomal RNA", at positions 925 to 1382 of the family's 1533-position model. Lineage: Bacteria; Pseudomonadati; Bacteroidota; Sphingobacteriia; Sphingobacteriales. The record is from RNAcentral.